UAAGUCGAUAGUCGCUCUAAGCUUCUUCCGGUAUAGGUCCAUGUGUUUGUAACACGUUGUUCAGUAUUUGGACGUAGGAAAGGGUGUUGAAGGUGACUGAAAAUGGCGAAGUCGAAGAACCACACGAAUCAUAAUCAAAGUGGAUGCAAAGUUUUUGAAAAAUCAGCGUUUUGCAAAGAAACAUAAUUUGAAACCAAAACAGCAGCUGAAAAGGGCAGAAGAACGCAAAGCAAAACGAGAAGCUGCUCAGCAGAAAUGAUUAUGUAUUGUAUUUUUUUACAAUAAAUUAUGUUUAAAGAUUU
This is a long non-coding RNA of Schistocerca nitens (vagrant locust), 302 nucleotides long. RefSeq lists it as uncharacterized. The transcript has 3 exons. The record is from RefSeq and is a predicted model, not a curated record. Lineage: Eukaryota; Metazoa; Arthropoda; Insecta; Orthoptera; Acrididae.